CCUGUGCUCACUUUGUUUGCUAGGCUUGCUAGGAUCUCUAGCAUUUUCAACGUGCUUCACCUGUCUUGAAUAAUUCUCAGAUUUUUCAGUAGUACUGUUAUGCCUGAAAGCUGUUUUAAAGAACUCAUAUGGCCUUUUAACUGAGAUAAUCAAGUUUCUCUCUUUAGCAUCUUUUACCAGGGCAGCCCAGUUAUGGUUUGUUUGCAGAGUCCUUGCAUUACCGAAAAUCCAAAGGGAGAACUUGGCUCUUGUCAAAGCAACAUUCAUCCGCCUAACAUCAGCAAUAAACCCAAUACUG
Molecule: unclassified non-coding RNA, 298 nt
Filed under: Hevea brasiliensis (rubber tree)
Lineage: Eukaryota; Viridiplantae; Streptophyta; Magnoliopsida; Malpighiales; Euphorbiaceae
Source: RNAcentral